GUGAGUCAUUGCAGUAAUGCAAGGCAGACGGCUCAGUAACACGUAGUCAACCUACCCUAUAGACGGGGAUAACCUCAGGAAACUGAGGAUAAACCCCGAUAGAUCAUUAUGCCUGGAACGGUUUAUGGUCCAAAUGAUUCGUCGCUAUAGGAUGGGACUGCGGCCUAUCAGCUUGUUGGUGAGGUAAUGGCCCACCAAGACUAUUACAGGUACGGGCUCUGAGAGGAGUAGCCCGGAGAUGGGUACUGAGACACGGACCCAGGCCCUAUGGGGCGCAGCAGGCGAGAAAACUUUGCAAUGUGCGAAAGCACGACAAGGUUAAUCCGAGUGAUUCCUGCUAAAGGAAUCUUUUGUUAGUCAUAAUACCACUAACGAAUAAGGGGUGGGCAAGUUCUGGUGUCAGCCGCCGCGGUAAAACCAGCACCUCAAGUGGUCAGGAUGAUUAUUGGGCCUAAAGCAUCCGUAGCCGGCUUUGUUAGUUUUCGGUUAAAUCCAUAUGCUCAACAUAUGGGCUGCCGGGAAUACUGCAAAGCUAGGGAGUGGGAGAGGUAGACGGUACUCCGUAGGAAGGGGUAAAAUCCUUUGAUCUAUGGAUGACCACCUGUGGCGAAGGCGGUCUACCAGAACACGUCCGACGGUGAGGGAUGAAAGCUGGGGGAGCAAACCGGAUUAGAUACCCGGGUAGUCCCAGCUGUAAACUAUGCAAACUCAGUGAUGCAUUGGCUUGUGGCCAGUGCAGUGCCGCAGGGAAGCCGUU
RNAcentral lists this ribosomal RNA (757 nucleotides) under uncultured archaeon. Its description in RNAcentral is "bacterial SSU rRNA". It matches the Rfam family "Archaeal small subunit ribosomal RNA", at positions 53 to 816 of the family's 1478-position model. The record is from RNAcentral.